CUGGGGUUCUGUGGCAGCCGCUGCAGGAAGCUAAAGUGUGGGCAGCCAGGUGGCUGUCCCGCAGGAGAGGCCGGCCUCCACCCCCGGGUGCCUGGGGCCCCACACAGACCCACGGUCCCCUCCCGUGGCUUACGCCUCGCGUGGCAGGGAGCACACUUCCCGCCCGUCACGUGGCCGUGUCUGGGGGGUCCUCACAUUGCUUUCUGGGAAGAUCAGACAGACACAGACAGCGGAUCCUUGAGCGACGAGCUGGUAAGGAGAGGGCGGGAGAGGACAGGAGUGGAGAAGGGCCCUGGGUGGCCCGGCAGCUCCCCCCACCCCAGUGUACCUGCAGCAGGAGCCCCGGUCCCAGAAAACCAGGCGUGUUUCCCUGCCUGACUGCGGUCCCCAGGGGGCCCCGUCUGCUCAGACGCUGGAGCCAUCGUCCUCGGCCAGGGCUUACUUUACACCUAAUGGCCCCGCUUACACCUGCUUGCCGAUCCCAGGGACGUGAUCUUAGGGACGCCGGUCCGUCUGAGCGGUGUCCCCGGGAGGCCGCGAGCCUCAGCGCACUCCCGGGGCCUCGGGGCCGCGUCUCUGUCCACCUCUGCCGAGCGACCUCUGCCGAGCGACCUCUGGGUUUGUGACCAGCGGCCCCGUUUGCCUUGCACACACAUGGGCUCUGGUGCAGAAUAAAGCUAAGGAGGCCCAGCCCUGUGCCCCUCUGUUCGCUGGCGGUGGUGAGUUUGCUGGGGUGCCUGACCGUCCGACUGCCCCGGGGUCGAUGGGGACGCUGCAGGCCCAGGCGUGUGGGGGUACGUGGCCACAUCAGUGCCCAGUGAGGAAGGAGCUCAACCCUGAUGUUUGCCUGGGCUGCCCUUAAGAGCGGGGACACCGUGGUCCCAGAGCAGGCCCAACCCCCAAGAGCGGGGACACCGUGGUCCCAGAGCAGGCCCAACCCUCAAGAGCGGGGACACCGUGGUCCCAGAGCAGGCCCAACCCCCAAGAGCGGGGACACCGUGGUCCCAGAGCAGGCCCAACCCCCAAGAGCGGGGACACCGUGGUCCCAGAGCAGGCCCAACCCCCAAGAGCGGGGACACCGUGGUCCCAGAGCAGGCCCAACCCCCAAGAGCGGGGACACCGUGGUCCCAGAGCAGGCCCAACCCCCAAGAGCGGGGACACCGUGGUCCCAGAGGAGGCCCAACCCCCUAAGAGCGGGGACACUGGUCGCAGAACUGGCCCAACCCCCAAGAGGGGGGACACUGGUCCCAGAGGAGGCCCAACCCCCAAGAGGGGGGACACUGGUCCCAGAGGAGGCCCAACCCCCAAGAGUGGGGACACCGUGGUCCCAGGCGAGGCCCAAGCAGCAAAGGAAACCUCUGGUUCACUGGAAGGUGAGAGACAGGUGUGGGGUCUUCACGACAUGUGCUGUCAUCCUGGGCUGUCCCCCUGCCCUCACACUGAGGCCCCACCUGUGGGCACUCGCCCAGUCGUGAGUCUGUGUCCACGGGACUCUGGCGUGGCCCCCGGCCACUCCCUGGUGGCCUGGCCAGAGCACAGGGCAGACGGGGGCCGCCUGAGGCAGGCGCAUCCUGUGUGGGCUUCGUGCCCACGAUUUGCGCAGUGUUCCCACGGAGCUCCCUGCCCAGUGGGACGACCGUCAUGGGUCUCGGAGAGGAAGCUCAGCCCCAGCGGGGUUAAAUGACUUGCCCCAGGGACACAGCCCAGAAGUGGCAGAACUGGGACCCAGUCCAGGGCUGUCCCCCCCCGCACCUGGGUACACGCACCCCGACCUCUCCACUGCUCUGACAGUGCACGAGAGGCUGGGUAGGCGGCCACCGAGGUAGCCUCCAAGGAAAACGGGCUCCCGGGGCUCCAGCCCCCUUCCCUGUAAGAGCAGGGACCAGGCCUGCAGGCUGAGCCCCCAGGGCAGCUGUGCGGGCAGAGACGCAGGGAGUGCGAAUUCGCAAACCAGUGAGGUGUGGGUCAUUACCCACCUGCCCGCUCUCAGGUGAUUACCCACGGGACCCAGGCCUCUUCCGGACGGGCAGGUCCACGAUCAUCGCUGUGGCAUGUCCUCUGUGCCCCGAAAACGGUAGCCAAGGCCUCCAGCCAGAAGGAAUCAUGCCGGACGCCAACCAUGAACACAAAAUGCUUUCGGAUCAUCUAACACGCAAGGGAAUUCUGCGUGGCCCCCCGGCCACCCAACAGCUUCGUGGCUGGGUGCUGUUUUCCCCACGACGCCUUCCAGCUUUUGGUCCCUGUGAGCGGUGAGCCCAGCAGCCAUGGAGCGGGCAAGACCCAGGAGGAAGGAGACACGGGCUGCAGGGAGCCUCCUCUUCCGGCCUGCAGGUCAUUGGGAACACGUCGCCCGGGGGUUCGGGACCACCACACACCGAGGCCCCACGGCGGCCAGACCUGCCGCCCCGCCCCGACUGCGUUGUUACGUCUCACGGGCCAUCGCACAGGAGACACGUGGCAUUGAAGCUAUUACCAAAUAUUCGACAGCUAAAUUUGCACUGGAGUGAUCUGCCUGCUUUUCUGUAAACAUGUCACAGGGGAAGAGGAGUGAUUCCCGCCCCCCUGUGCCGCAGGCAGACUCAGCAGCCUCGUGGGGCCCCGUGGCACCCCACGCGUAAGGGGGAAGCCCCAAAUCAGUUAAAGCUUAGUGACGGGAAGAGGUCGUCCCUUCCCACCCACAUCCACAGGCCCAGGCGUGUCCAGGAGAGAGUCCCCUCCUCCGCCGUCCCCCCUCCAGGCCCCUGUCUUUCCUCGUGCCCACUGAGGUCCUGGACCAGCUCCUUGGAAGUACCUGCUCCGGGUGGCCCUCCGGCCUCGCCCUUGGCCUCCAGCCAGCUGGGCCCGUGUUGGCCCGACACUCCCAUGGUCCUCCUGUCCGCACCUCUGCUCGCACCAGACCCGGCCCACCCCAGGCAGUCCCCUCCAGCUGCUCUGCACCCCCCCCGCCCCCCUGCAACUCAUCCCACUCCUGAGCCUGGCCCCCCACUCCCCGCGGACUCUUGUCCGACCCAGACCCGUGGGGCGGGCCACAGCCCCACCUGCUGGAGCUGGGAGCCCGGCCCCCCGGGGAAGGGGGGCUGCUGGCAGGGGCUGGGCCGGAACAGGAGCUCCGGGCAGGCCUGGCUGUCUGUCCCUGGGCCUGAAGGGCUGCUGACGGGAGGCAGCUGGUUUCCAGCGACAGGCGGCCUGGAGGCAAUGGCACCUGUCAUCAUUUCCGCCCUUCCGUGCUCCCCACGGGGCUGCAGGAAUCUGCCAGCUCAGAUCUGCGGCGGGGGCCGGGGGCUUCUGGGGCGCACACAUCCCACGGUCUCGCUGCACGAGGUUGCCCCUGGAGCCGGGCCCCGGGCUGCGGGUCCCCUGUCCCCAGGCCCGGCGGGGAGGGUGGUGGACACACUCUGAGCCCCGCCCCCCGGGAACAUGCAGGGGUCAGUUGCUCUCCGCCAGAACUCACUAGUUUCGCAGCCUCAGUCUGGCCCCCAGGCCUGAUUUUCUGUGGCCGCAUCUGGAAGAUGGGCGUAGGCUGUUGACGUGGGGGCCUCAGUACAAGCCUCCCCAAAGUGCCCCUCCCAUCAGCUCUGGCUGCUUCUUUUCUGUCGGCAUCCCUUCCCCCGCACCCCCAGCCUGCCCCUGCCCCACGCGGGAGCCCCAGAGGCGCUCCCCCACUGCCUGGACGAGGCCGGAUUCUGGGACAGGCAGCGAGGACCGGCCUGGGGGUCCAGCCUCAGCGAGGACUCCUGAACCAGGAGGCACAGUGGGGUCUUUCCUGCUCAUCCUGAACAUGCGUGAAUGUCUGGCAGUCCCCUGGCUCACCUUACCCAGAGGCCCGACACCCCCAUGGCAGGUCAGCAGAGCAAGCAGGGAACCUCGGGCGGGAGGCCCGGCGAGCACAGGUCACUGUCUUCCCCCGGCCUCGUCCUCAGUCUCCAGGAUGACCCCUGGGACCGCCAACCUCCUGUCUCCUCUGCACCCGGCCUUGGAGAGACUUCACAUAAAUGAGGAGGGGGUCUGGUGACGCACUUCCUGCUUCCCCCCAAGGAAGAGACCAUUUCCUUACUCUUUUCCUUCUGUUAGUCCUUUUUCUUAGAAGAAUAUUGUAAGAUUUUUUUUUUUGGCCUCCGAAUAUAGUUCCCUAAGAGUCCACACUCUAAAUACUGAUUUUUUAUAGCAACACCAAGAUUUCUCACCACGAACUUGGUCAGCCGUCGGGUUCAUUGCUCCCGUCUGCGCCCAAGUGGUAGGGACACCUUCUUGGUGACCUCACUUAGCAAAGCAUUUACGGGGCUCCGGAGCAAGAGGGACCUGCGGGUGGGCGGGAGGACCACGGGAGCCUUGCCCCUUCCUCUCCCCCCCAUGCCCCCUCACGGCCAUUUCCAUUCUUUGGGGGGUUCUCUGUCCACUGGUCCUCUUAGAAAGUACAAGAAGCACACGCACACCCACAAAGCCCACUCUGCACCUUGCUUGGCUCAGAUGUCACAGCACACGGGUCCUCAUGCUGUCCCUCGAGCCCGCCACCCCCCACCCCCACCCCCCCCAUGGCCGCAGCGCACUCCUGGGAAGGUCGGCCAGAGUUUAGUCAACCGACGUCCUGUGACGGGCAUUUGGGAUUCUCAGCCUUUGCUCCCCCCGCGCACAACCCCAGCAAAGGCCUUGGCGUGACGGACCCCGUUCCCUCCAGAGAAGGCACCUUUUUGCUUUCCCACCCAAGAUCAGUGACAAGACCUGCAUGU
This is a long non-coding RNA of Leopardus geoffroyi (Geoffroy's cat), 4727 nucleotides long. RefSeq lists it as uncharacterized. The transcript has 3 exons. NCBI's taxonomy places the organism in Eukaryota, Metazoa, Chordata, Mammalia, Carnivora, Felidae. The record is from RefSeq and is a predicted model, not a curated record.